GGCCUCGUAGCUCAGUUGGCUAGAGGGUUGUUUUUACUCAAACCUUCCCUUUGCUUGCGUGGGUUCGAAUCCGACCGAUGCCA
RNAcentral lists this transfer RNA (83 nucleotides) under Schistocephalus solidus. It matches the Rfam family "tRNA". From Rfam's summary of the family: Transfer RNA (tRNA) molecules are approximately 80 nucleotides in length. Their secondary structure includes four short double-helical elements and three loops (D, anti-codon, and T loops). Further hydrogen bonds mediate the characteristic L-shaped molecular structure. tRNAs have two regions of fundamental functional importance: the anti-codon, which is responsible for specific mRNA codon recognition, and the 3' end, to which the tRNAs corresponding amino acid is attached (by aminoacyl-tRNA synthetases). tRNAs cope with the degeneracy of the genetic code in two manners: having more than one tRNA (with a specific anti-codon) for a particular amino acid; and 'wobble' base-pairing, i.e. permitting non-standard base-pairing at the 3rd anti-codon position. Lineage: Eukaryota; Metazoa; Platyhelminthes; Cestoda; Diphyllobothriidea; Diphyllobothriidae. The record is from Rfam by way of RNAcentral.